AGAGUUUGAUCAUGGCUCAGAUUGAACGCUGGCGGCAGGCCUAACACAUGCAAGUCGAGCGGCAGCACAGGUACUUGUACCGGGUGGCGAGCGGCGGACGGGUGAGUAAUGCCUAGGAAUCUGCCUGGUAGUGGGGGAUAACGCUCGGAAACGGACGCUAAUACCGCAUACGUCCUACGGGAGAAAGCAGGGGACCUUCGGGCCUUGCGCUAUCAGAUGAGCCUAGGUCGGAUUAGCUAGUUGGUGGGGUAAUGGCUCACCAAGGCGACGAUCCGUAACUGGUCUGAGAGGAUGAUCAGUCACACUGGAACUGAGACACGGUCCAGACUCCUACGGGAGGCAGCAGUGGGGAAUAUUGGACAAUGGGCGAAAGCCUGAUCCAGCCAUGCCGCGUGUGUGAAGAAGGUCUUCGGAUUGUAAAGCACUUUAAGUUGGGAGGAAGGGCAUUUACCUAAUACGUGAAUGUUUUGACGUUACCGACAGAAUAAGCACCGGCUAACUCUGUGCCAGCAGCCGCGGUAAUACAGAGGGUGCAAGCGUUAAUCGGAAUUACUGGGCGUAAAGCGCGCGUAGGUGAUUUGUUAAGUUGAAUGUGAAAUCCCCGGGCUCAACCUGGGAACUGCAUCCAAAACUGGCAAGCUAGAGUAUGGUAGAGGGUGGUGGAAUUUCCUGUGUAGCGGUGAAAUGCGUAGAUAUAGGAAGGAACACCAGUGGCGAAGGCGACCACCUGGACUGAUACUGACACUGAGGUGCGAAAGCGUCGGGAGCAAAC
This 772-nucleotide ribosomal RNA is filed under the name uncultured bacterium. RNAcentral's name for it is "bacterial SSU rRNA". It matches the Rfam family "Bacterial small subunit ribosomal RNA", at positions 8 to 773 of the family's 1533-position model. The record is from RNAcentral.